This 484-nucleotide ribosomal RNA is filed under the name uncultured bacterium. RNAcentral describes it as "partial 16S ribosomal RNA". It matches the Rfam family "Bacterial small subunit ribosomal RNA", at positions 30 to 507 of the family's 1533-position model. The record is from RNAcentral.
AUUGAACGCUGGCGGAAUGCUUUACACAUGCAAGUCGAACGGCAGCACGGGGGCAACCCUGGUGGCGAGUGGCGAACGGGUGAGUAAUACAUCGGAACGUGCCCGGUCGUGGGGGAUAACGUAGCGAAAGUUACGCUAAUACCGCAUACGAUCUGAGGAUGAAAGCGGGGGACCUUCGGGCCUCGCGCGAUCGGAGCGGCCGAUGUCAGAUUAGGUAGUUGGUGGGGUAAAGGCCUACCAAGCCGACGAUCUGUAGCUGGUCUGAGAGGACGACGAGCCACACUGGGACUGAGACACGGCCCAGACUCCUACGGGAGGCAGCAGUGGGGAAUUUUGGACAAUGGGCGCAAGCCUGAUCCAGCCAUUCCGCGUGCAGGACGAAGGCCUUCGGGUUGUAAACUGCUUUUGUAUGGAACGAAAAGGCUCUGGCUAAUACCUGGGGCUCAUGACGGUACCGUAAGAAUAAGCACCGGCUAACUACGUG